RNAcentral lists this ribosomal RNA (377 nucleotides) under uncultured bacterium. RNAcentral describes it as "partial 16S ribosomal RNA". It matches the Rfam family "Bacterial small subunit ribosomal RNA", at positions 355 to 724 of the family's 1533-position model. The record is from RNAcentral.
UGGGGAAUAUUGCACAAUGGGCGCAAGCCUGAUGCAGCCAUGCCGCGUGUAUGAAGAAGGCCUUCGGGUUGUAAAGUACUUUCAGCGGGGAGGAAGGUGUUGUGGUUAAUAACCACAGCAAUUGACGUUACCCGCAGAAGAAGCACCGGCUAACUCCGUGCCAGCAGCCGCGGUAAUACGGAGGGUGCAAGCGUUAAUCGGAAUUACUGGGCGUAAAGCGCACGCAGGGGGUCUGUCAAGUCGGAUGUGAAAGCCCCGGGCUCAACCUGGGAACUGCAUCCGAAACUGGCAGGCUUGAGUCUUGUAGAGGGGGGUAGAAGUCCAGGUGUAGCGGUGAAAUGCGUAGAGAUCUGGAGGAAUACCGGUGGCGAAGGCGG